GACGAACGCUGGCGGCGUGCUUAACACAUGCAAGUCGAGCGGUAAGGCCCUUCGGGGUACACGAGCGGCGAACGGGUGAGUAACACGUGAGUAAUCUGCCCAUCACUUCGGGAUAACUCCGGGAAACCGGUGCUAAUACCGAAUAUGACCACUUCAGGCAUCUGAUGGUGGUGGAAAGUUCCGGCGGUGAUGGAUGAGCUCGCGGCCUAUCAGCUUGUUGGUGGGGUAGUGGCCUACCAAGGCUUCGACGGGUAGCCGGCCUGGGAGGGUGACCGGCCACACGGGGACGGGGAACCGGCCCGGCCCCCACGGGGGGGCAGGAGUGGGGAAUAUGGGAAAAGGGGCGAAACCCUGACCCAGCAACCCCGGGUGGGGGAGGACGGCCUUGGGGUUGUAACCCUUUUUCAGCAGGGACGAAGCGAAAGGAACGGUCCCUGAAAAAGAAGCCCCGGCCAACUACGU
RNAcentral lists this ribosomal RNA (462 nucleotides) under uncultured bacterium. RNAcentral's name for it is "partial 16S ribosomal RNA". It matches the Rfam family "Bacterial small subunit ribosomal RNA", at positions 28 to 506 of the family's 1533-position model. The record is from RNAcentral.